Long non-coding RNA from Oreochromis aureus, 1065 nucleotides. NCBI's taxonomy places the organism in Eukaryota, Metazoa, Chordata, Actinopteri, Cichliformes, Cichlidae. The record is from Ensembl.
CUUUGCUUGUGCCAAGUUGCUUUGAUAAAAUCUCUCACAAUUAGAGUAAAUUUAAUUGUAGAUUUUCUCUUAACCCUUUGUAAAAGAAAAUAAAGGUAUAAAUCUGAGUAUUAAUCCUUAUUACUCCAGUUAGCUUGUGUAGGUUGUUCUAGCCUUUCCAGGUAACAAACCCACGAAGCCUGCAGUCUUGGCUUCUAAAAGCAUCCCAGGUUAACAAGUACCACAAUCAAGAGGGGAGAUGAUACAGUUUGACCUGCAAGCGUACUCAGGUUUCUUCAUAUCAGGGCAAUCAGGGAAGACACCUGGUCAUCAAUGCAGUCAGGCUGGGCGAGUCCCCUCACCCACACUGGCUCCAGCUAAACCCUGCAUCAUCUACUGGGUGUGGAAAGUUACUGUGACGGCAGACCAGAUGGAGCUCAUUGUUAUGGAACUUUGGGAGGAACUUUGGACAUCAAACUGAUGGACAGCACCUCAGAGUUAGGCAGAUUCCAACUGUUAAAGAAUACAUCACUAAUACGAUAUUCGAGAAACAACAGUUCUAAACAUAAUACAACAGAUGAAAGAUUUCUCUUUUAUCUCAGUAAUGGAACGCUUAGGAUACAUAACCUGAGCAGUACAGACAGCGGUAAAUAUAACUUUUCGACCUUUAAGUUUGAUGGACAACAAUCAGCUGAGCGGACUUUCCAGAUUUUUAUUCAAGGUACUUCCUGGUUCAUACAUGGUUUGAAAGCAGUGGUGGUAAUUAUAUCAUUAAGUGGGAUUUGGAUCUAUUUCACUUGGAAGAAAAAAGCAAUAUUGGAAGGCUCUGCUGUCCCACAAAGGAUGGAAUCUCCAGAUAACUCUGUUUUAAUGACUGAAAUGAGUCCUUACUCCAACACUUAGUGUCACCUUUCACCUGCUGUAAAUUCACUGUGUGUCCUUACAGGUGUGCAGAUGAGGACUAGGGUGAUUUUUCUUCUUUUUCUUCCUUCUUUUGUCAUAUGUAGUGCACAAGGACACAUUUGUUUUCACCUUUUGGUGUGUUUGUGUUAGUUCACAAUGUGAUUUCAGUGUGUGAAUAAAGAG